RNAcentral lists this long non-coding RNA (1322 nucleotides) under Vulpes vulpes (red fox). RNAcentral's name for it is "lncRNA (ENSVVUG00000005820.1)". The record is from RNAcentral. Lineage: Eukaryota; Metazoa; Chordata; Mammalia; Carnivora; Canidae.
AAGAUAAAGUUUGAGAAGACAAGCUUUGGCUUGUCUUGAACAAGUUGAUUACAAAGAGCAAAUUCAUCUGAAAAGAGAAAGCAUAAAUUAUCCCUAAGAUUCUUCUCAAUAUGGACGGCAGCAUGAUAGGAUAGAAAAAGUACAGAUUUUAGGAUCACUAUUGCCUGGUUUUUAAUCUAAAAUUCACCACAAACUGGCUGGAUGAGCAAUGGUAAAUGAAUCAACCUUUGUGAGUCUAAACUUACUCUUAGAAUAAGUACCUUCAAGAUUGCUAGAAAAUAAUUAAGGACUUGGCACAUAACCUGGCAUGUAGUGGGCACCAAAAUGUAUUAGUUUUUUUCCCCAUCUAUUCCUUUUUAUUACCCUAAAAUUCUAUGAAUUGUAGGAACCGGAUUACUCAGGUUAUAAAGAUUAUUGUCUCAAGGUCUUCCUAGCUUAGUGAACCUCAAGCUGGUAACUACAUUUCUUCAUGAGUAACAUUAGGGUUAAAAUAUAUGCUUUGUUUCCUCUCUGCUUGUUAAAACAAAUAAAUAGUAUAAAAACACGGUCACAAGAAAAGGGCUAUACUCAUGGACCGGGAGGAAAUUAACAUUUCUGAGUGCUUACAGUUUUAGAUGAUUUGUUCGCAGGAUCAUUCAAACUCCAUCACAUUACUACGAGUUAUUUAAUUCACAAGUGAGAAAACCACAGGAAGGGUAAGUGACUUGGCUAAGGCCCCUCAACUGUUAAGUCACAGAGCAGCAAAGUCAGUCCAAGCAUGCUCACCUACCCACUGUACACAUGACUUCUGAAGCACUAAGGUUGUUAGUAAGAGGAAGGGGGACUAUUGAUCUUUAAGCAAGAAUUCUGAAGGGAAAGGUGAAGGUGAGAAAAGGAAGAAACGUCCAUGCUAAUUCAUCAUAUAUUCUAAUACACUUCAGCCACAGAAUAAAGAAACCAUGCCAGUUGCUGCUACUGCAGACAGAGAGCGAAGAAAUCCUCUACGAGCCCCAUGGGUUUACAGAAGUCUAUCCAUCACUCUGUCAGUCUUCCGGAUCAUUAUUCAAGUUGCUAUCCCCAAUUUUGCUGGAUAUAUCAGAUCAACUCCAGCUCCAUAGAUGGACAGUGUGUUUUCUUCCUAUUUUUAAAGACCGCAAAGAGGAAAACUGAUGAAUAUUAUAAGGACACACUGGAAAGUGCAUUGUUACUAUGGCAAUAAAAAAGAGAACAAAUGUCAAAAUAUUUUUUUGGUAAAAUUCCAUUUCUCUGGGUAAAAUUUUACAGUCCUUUGCAUCAAGUGUAAGCAAAUACUCUUCAUGUGACAUUUUUAAUUAAAUAUUUCC